UGGCGAACGGGUUAGUAAUGCGUGACCAACCUGCCCCAUGCUCCAGAAUAGCUCUUGGAAACGGGUGGUAAUGCUGGAUGCUCCAACUUGACGCAUGUCUUGUUGGGAAAGUGUUUAGUGGCAUGGGAUGGGGUCGCGUCCUAUCAGCUUGUAGGCGGGGUAAUGGCCCACCUAGGCUUCGACGGGUAGCCGGCCUUAGAGGGCGGACGGCCACAUUGGGACUGAGAUACGGCCCAGACUCCUACGGGAGGCAGCAGCA
This 259-nucleotide ribosomal RNA is filed under the name uncultured Gardnerella sp. RNAcentral describes it as "partial 16S ribosomal RNA". It matches the Rfam family "Bacterial small subunit ribosomal RNA", at positions 96 to 355 of the family's 1533-position model. The record is from RNAcentral. Lineage: Bacteria; Bacillati; Actinomycetota; Actinomycetes; Bifidobacteriales; Bifidobacteriaceae.